GCAAAUCCCUAAAAGCCAUCUCAGUUCGGAUUGCAGGCUGCAACUCGCCUGCAUGAAGCUGGAAUUGCUAGUAAUCGCGGAUCAGCAAGCCGCGGUGAAUACGUUCCCGGGCCUUGUACACACCGCCCGUCACACCAUGGGAGUUUGUAACGCCCAAAGUCGGUGGCCUAACCUUCAUGGAGGGAGCCGCCUAAGGCGGGACAGAUGACUGGGGUGAAGUCGUAACAAGGUAAC
This 234-nucleotide ribosomal RNA is filed under the name uncultured bacterium. RNAcentral describes it as "partial 16S ribosomal RNA". It matches the Rfam family "Bacterial small subunit ribosomal RNA", at positions 1267 to 1500 of the family's 1533-position model. The record is from RNAcentral.